AUUUGGGUAGUUUAAUAAAACAUUACAUUUUCACUGUAAAAUUGGUAAAUUUUUCUUACUUUCAAAUU
This 68-nucleotide transfer RNA is filed under the name Barynotus obscurus. RNAcentral's name for it is "tRNA-Glu". The record is from RNAcentral. Lineage: Eukaryota; Metazoa; Arthropoda; Insecta; Coleoptera; Curculionidae.